CCUACGGGAGGCAGCAGUAGGGAAUAUUGCUCAAUGGGGGAAACCCUGAAGCAGCAACGCCGCGUGGGGGAAGAAGGUUUUCGGAUCGUAAACUCCUGUUGUCAGAGAAGAAAAUGACGGUACCUAACGAAUAAGCACCGGCUAACUCCGUGCCAGCAGCCGCGGUAAUACGGAGGGUGCAAGCGUUACCCGGAAUCACUGGGCGUAAAGAGCGCGUAGGCGGGAGUGCAAGUCAGAUGUGAAAUCCUAUGGCUUAACCCUAGAACUGCAUUUGAAACUGUUAUUCUAGAGUAUGGGAGAGGUAGGUGGAAUUCUUGGUGUAGGGGUGAAAUGCGUAGAGAUCAGGAGGAAUACUCGUGGCGAAGGCGACCUGCUGGAACAUAACUGACGCUGAUGCGCGAAAGCGUGGGGAGCAAACAGGAUUAGAUACCCGAGUAGUC
This 440-nucleotide ribosomal RNA is filed under the name uncultured bacterium. Its description in RNAcentral is "partial 16S ribosomal RNA". It matches the Rfam family "Bacterial small subunit ribosomal RNA", at positions 338 to 795 of the family's 1533-position model. The record is from RNAcentral.